RNAcentral lists this ribosomal RNA (330 nucleotides) under Streptomyces sp. RBS-84. RNAcentral describes it as "bacterial SSU rRNA". It matches the Rfam family "Bacterial small subunit ribosomal RNA", at positions 1003 to 1325 of the family's 1533-position model. Lineage: Bacteria; Bacillati; Actinomycetota; Actinomycetes; Kitasatosporales; Streptomycetaceae. The record is from RNAcentral.
GAGAUGGUGCCCCCCUUNUGGUCGGUAUACAGGUGGUGCAUGGCUGUCGUCAGCUCGUGUCGUGAGAUGUUGGGUUAAGUCCCGCNACGAGCGCAACCCUUNUUCUGUGUUGCCAGCAUGCCCUUCGGGGUGAUGGGGACUCAUCAGGAGACCUGCCGGGGUCAAACUCGGAGGAAGGUGGGGACGACGUCAAGUCAUCAUGCCCCUUAUGUCUUGGGCUGCACACGUGCUACAAUGGCCGGUACAAUGAGCUGCGAUGCCGCGAGGCGGAGCGAAUCUCAAAAACCUGGUCUCAGUUCGGAUUGGGGUCUGCAACUCGACCCCAUGAAG